CUUUGCUUUGCAGUCACUUCGAGGAAAUCUUACUAUAGAUGCUCUUUCUCUGAUCCUGGCUCCUAAUUAGCUAGAUAGCUUUCCUUCAGUUAACAAUGGCUCAUGAACUCUAUACUCUGCAAAUACUAGCCUUAAUCUUCUCAAUUGCAACUGUUGUUACUUGUUAGUCCCCUGAGUUUAAGCUAUCCUGUAGUUUUCAAUUUUGG
Molecule: unclassified non-coding RNA, 206 nt
Filed under: Hevea brasiliensis (rubber tree)
Lineage: Eukaryota; Viridiplantae; Streptophyta; Magnoliopsida; Malpighiales; Euphorbiaceae
Source: RNAcentral